Molecule: non-coding RNA, 276 nt
Organism: Pimephales promelas (fathead minnow)
Lineage: Eukaryota; Metazoa; Chordata; Actinopteri; Cypriniformes; Leuciscidae
Source: RefSeq, a predicted model, not a curated record
GUGCAGUCUCGCGAUCCUGUCUCCGCUUGCAGUUUGGCUGGAGACUCGACGAGGCUGCAUAGACUAAAAUGAAGGAACAAAAGGCGUGACUUCUCUAGACUUUGAAGUUUUACGUGCGAUAUUCUUUCAACAAAUCUCGUCCUGUUUCCACAGCGGUAAUGGUUUGUUUUAUACCGUUACCAGUUUCAAAACAGGCAGAGUAAUACAGCGUUGGCAGUCAGAUAUUGUCUGACAGGAGAUCUGCGCGCCUUUCAGACACUUAGAAUUGCCACAGUG